RNAcentral lists this ribosomal RNA (529 nucleotides) under Halamphora veneta. RNAcentral describes it as "eukaryotic LSU rRNA". It matches the Rfam family "Eukaryotic large subunit ribosomal RNA", at positions 36 to 650 of the family's 3401-position model. Lineage: Eukaryota; Bacillariophyta; Bacillariophyceae; Naviculales; Amphipleuraceae. RNAcentral also lists the same sequence under 1 other name. The record is from RNAcentral.
AAGCAUAUAACUAAGCGGAGGAAAAGAAACUAACCAGGAUUGUCCUAGUAAGGGCGACUGAAGCGACAAAAGCUCACCAUGUGAAUCUGCGUCAGCUGAAUUGUGGUCUCACUUGCGUUAUUGACCGGGCCAAGUCCGUUGGAACACGGCAGCUGAGAGGGUGACACUCCCGUUUGCCUGGUCACUAGAGCAAGUGUCUUUGAGUCGAGUUGUUUGGGAUUGCAGCUCUAAGUGGGUGGUAAAUUCCAUCGAAAGCUAAAUACUGGUGGGAGACCGAUAGCGUACAAGUACCGUGAGGGAAAGAUGCAAAGAAGCGCGAAAGCGCUGUUAAAGAGUACCUGAACUUGCUGAAACGGAAGCGAAGGAAACCAGUGCCAGCUGAGUCAUACUUCCCCAACUGCUUGCGGGUGGGGCGCUGUGGCCAGCGUUGUCAACUUUGGUUCAGUGGUGCAGAGGAGUUUGGGGGGAGUUGAUCCUCACUGCGUGUGCGCCUUGGGACUGAUGUAGACAAAAUGGUUUCCUUUUUCCC